UUGCUUCAGCAGCAAAUGUACUGAAAUUGGAAUGAUACAGAGAAGAUUAGCAUGGCCCCUGUGCAAUGAUGACAUGCAAAUUCUUGAACCGUUCCAUAUUUUU
Molecule: small nuclear RNA, 103 nt
Organism: Physeter macrocephalus (sperm whale)
Lineage: Eukaryota; Metazoa; Chordata; Mammalia; Artiodactyla; Physeteridae
Source: Ensembl